This 1172-nucleotide long non-coding RNA is filed under the name Rattus norvegicus (Norway rat). RNAcentral's name for it is "long non-coding RNA NONRATT025206". Lineage: Eukaryota; Metazoa; Chordata; Mammalia; Rodentia; Muridae. The record is from RNAcentral.
GUAGGAGGCCGGACGCAGGGCGGCGGUACCCAGGAGGGUUCGAGAAGAGGUCCCAUUCACCCGCCCCGUUAUCUCCGCUUGCUUGGCAUUCUUUAUCCUCUUUCCUGAAUUUCAGAGGCUUCUGGAAAUCACCGAAGGGUCAGAAUUCCUCAGGCUGCAAGUAGAGGGAGGUGGAUGCUCCGGAUUCCAAUACAAAUUUUCACUGGACACAGUUAUUAACCCCGACGACAGGGUAUUUGAACAGGGUGGGGCAAGAGUGGUGGUUGACUCUGAUAGCUUGGCCUACGUUAAGGGGGCCCAGGUGGACUUCAGCCAAGAACUAAUCCGAAGCUCAUUCCAGGUGUUGAAUAAUCCUCAAGCCCAGCAAGGCUGCUCCUGUGGGUCAUCCUUCUCUAUCAAAAUCUGACACAAUGGCAGAUGACUCUGGGAUUGCCACCAUUGUGCCAGUGUGAAAAACCCGGGAAUAGUAGAAUUCUAGAGAUCGAUUUCUCAUCAUGUCCCCCUCUCAUUUAAUUUAGUCCAGCGGUGUCUUAUUUUACCACUAUUAAUUAUGGAAUGUGAAGCUUUUACUCUUGACAGAAAUACUCUCCCCUCCCCCAGCACAAUGUUAAGGCCAAAUCCAAAUGCCGUUACCUCAACCUUAAUCACUGGUUGGAACCCUAGCACUUAGUACCUCUAGGACUCCAAAAUUUGGAGUUAACUUCUCUAGCCUUCAAAAUUGUUUAUAUGUGUGUGUAUAGCUAUAUAUAAAGCAUCAUUAUAAACUAAGUUCUUACCGUGUUUUUAAUCAGGAUCACAGUUUGGGUAGCUUGAAUACCAGAAUUGAGGCCAAAAUCGAUUAGAAGGCAAACAACUAUUGUCUGCUGCCACUUUCUCUUUCCCUCCUUCCUUCCUUCCUUCCCUCUUUCUUUCAACAGAGUCUUAUAGGUAGCCCCAGUUUUGGACUCUCAAUUUUCCUGCCUCAGCCUCUUUAUGCUGGAACUGCAGAAAUAUUACUACCAGGCUUGGGUCAUUCCUUUUUCUUCUUUUUCUUUUCUUCUUCUUUUUUUCCUCCUCUUCCUCCUUUUCUUCUCCUCCUCCUUUUCUUCCUCUUCUUCCUCUUCUUCCUCCUCUUCUUCUUCCUCUUCCUCCUCCUCCUCGUCUUCCUUUCUUUUCUUUUUUGUGGUUGUAUG